UACGGGGGGGGCAAGCGUUGUUCGGAAUUACUGGGCGUAAAGGGUUCGUAGGUGGCCAACUAAGUCAGACGUGAAAUCCCUCAGCUUAACUGGGGAACUGCGUCUGAUACUGGUUGGCUUGAGUGCAGGAGAGGAACGCGGAAUUCCAGGUGUAGCGGUGAGAUGCGUAGAUAUCUGGAGGAAUACCGGUGGCGAAGGCGGCAUCCUGGACCGGCAUUGACGCUGAGGAGCGAAAGCCAGGGGAGCAAACGGG
This 253-nucleotide ribosomal RNA is filed under the name uncultured bacterium. RNAcentral describes it as "partial 16S ribosomal RNA". It matches the Rfam family "Bacterial small subunit ribosomal RNA", at positions 524 to 776 of the family's 1533-position model. The record is from RNAcentral.